CAUUCAAAUUUCUGCCCUAUCAACUUUUGAUGGUAGGAUAGAGGCCUACCAUGGUAACAGGUAACGGGGUGUUAGGGCACGACACCGGAGAGGGAGCCUGAGAAACGGCUACCACAUCCAAGGAUGGCAGCAGGCGCGCAAAUUACCCAAUCCCGAUACGGGGAGGUAGUGACAAUAAAUAACAAUACGGGGCUCUUUUGGGUCUCGUAAUUGGAAUGAGUACAAUUUAAAUCUCUUAACGAGGAACAAUUGGAGGGCAAGUCUGGUGCCAGCAGCCGCGGUAAUUCCAGCUCCAAUAGUGUAUAUUAAAGUUGUUGCAGUUAAAAAGCUCGUAGUUGAAUUUCGGGGUCAGCAGGUUGGUCGUGCCACUGGUAUGCACUGGUUUCGCUGAUUCCUCCUUUCUGAAGAACUGUAAUGCCAUUAAUUUGAUGUUGCAGGGAAACAGGGCUGUUACUUUGAAAAAAUUAGAGUGUUUAAAGCAGGCUGACGCUUGAAUACAUUAGCAUGGAAUAAUGAAAUAGGACGUUUGAUCCUAGGUUGUUGGUUUCUAGGAUUGACGUAAUGAUUAAUAGGGAUAGUUGGGGGCAUUAGUAUUCAAUUGUCAGAGGUGAAAUUCUUGGAUUUAUUGAAGACUAACUACUGCGAAAGCAUUUGCCAAGGAUGUUUUCAUUAAUCAAGAACGAAAGUUAGGGGAUCAAAGACGAUCAGAUACCAUCGUAGUCUUAACCAUAAACUAUGCCGACUAGGGAUCGGAUGAUGUUAAUUUUUUAAUGACUCAUUCGGCGCCUUACGGGAAACCAAAGUGUUUGGGUUCCGGGGGGAGUAUGGUCGCAAGGCUGAAACUUAAAGGAAUUGAUGGAAGGGCACCACCAGGGGUGGAGCCUGCGGCUUAAUUUGACUCAACACGGGAAACUCACCAGGUCCAGACAUAGUAAGGAUUGACAGAUUGAGAGCUCUUUCUUGAUUCUAUGGGUGGUGGUGCAUGGCUGUUCUUAGUUGGUGGAGUGAUUUGUCUGGUUAAUUCCGUUAACGAACGAGACCUUAACCUGCUAAAUAGCUAGGCCUAACAUUGUUA
Molecule: ribosomal RNA, 1075 nt
Filed under: uncultured Glomus
Lineage: Eukaryota; Fungi; Glomeromycota; Glomeromycetes; Glomerales; Glomeraceae
Description: SSU rRNA
Rfam family: Eukaryotic small subunit ribosomal RNA
Source: RNAcentral